ACACCCAAGGAUACGGGGAGUCUCAGGAUGAGGCCGGUGUACCAGGACGGUAUAUCGAACAAGGACUGUGAAGGGAUAGCCGAGGAGCGGCGAAAUGGUAAGUAGGAUGCUUGCCAGUCAGGAUGACAUAAGGACCACUUCAGGAUGAAGUCAGGGACCCCGCCAGGAAGGAUGUUGAGAGUCAGAACAGGAUAGGCUGACGGGUCAGGAUGGCCACAGGACAACUUCAGGACGAAGAAUAAAAGGAAUCUGCUGACGGAUUACAGCAAUUCAACGGAUUGAUGCAGGGAGCACCAUAGUAGCGGGACUGCUGCAAGUAAGACCUAAGGGCGCAACGCAAGUUGCGCCCGUUCUUUUUUAU
RNAcentral lists this non-coding RNA (361 nucleotides) under Photobacterium gaetbulicola Gung47. The record is from RNAcentral. Lineage: Bacteria; Pseudomonadati; Pseudomonadota; Gammaproteobacteria; Vibrionales; Vibrionaceae.